UACGUAGGGUGCAAGCGUUGUCCGGAAUCAUUGGGCGUAAAGCGCGUGUAGGCGGCUGAGUAAGUCUGCUCUGAAAGCCCGGGGCUCAACCCCGGGAGGCGGGUGGAUACUGCUCAGCUCGAGUCCGGAAGAGGAGUGUGGAAUUCCUGGUGUAGCGGUGAAAUGCGCAGAUAUCAGGAGGAACACCAGCGGUGUAGACGGCUUUCUGGACCAUUGCUGACGCUGAGACACGAAAGCGUGGGUAGCAAACAGG
This 253-nucleotide ribosomal RNA is filed under the name uncultured bacterium. Its description in RNAcentral is "partial 16S ribosomal RNA". It matches the Rfam family "Bacterial small subunit ribosomal RNA", at positions 524 to 776 of the family's 1533-position model. The record is from RNAcentral.